GGGAUUGUGGCUCAGCGGUAGAGCACUUGCCUAGUAUGUGUGGAGCCCUGGGUUCAAUCCUCAGCACCA
RNAcentral lists this transfer RNA (69 nucleotides) under Ictidomys tridecemlineatus (thirteen-lined ground squirrel). Its description in RNAcentral is "Spermophilus tridecemlineatus (thirteen-lined ground squirrel) tRNA". It matches the Rfam family "tRNA". From Rfam's summary of the family: Transfer RNA (tRNA) molecules are approximately 80 nucleotides in length. Their secondary structure includes four short double-helical elements and three loops (D, anti-codon, and T loops). Lineage: Eukaryota; Metazoa; Chordata; Mammalia; Rodentia; Sciuridae. The record is from Rfam by way of RNAcentral.